Molecule: transfer RNA, 80 nt
Filed under: Alienimonas californiensis
Lineage: Bacteria; Pseudomonadati; Planctomycetota; Planctomycetia; Planctomycetales; Planctomycetaceae
Description: Planctomycetes bacterium CA12 tRNA-Ile
Source: RNAcentral
GGCGGCGAGGGCCUCGCAGGCGAAGCCGCAGGCCUGAUAGGCCUGCCCGCGGAAGCUCGGCCCCAUGCCGGGCGCCGUCC